Molecule: ribosomal RNA, 468 nt
Filed under: uncultured bacterium
Lineage: Bacteria
Description: partial 16S ribosomal RNA
Rfam family: Bacterial small subunit ribosomal RNA
Source: RNAcentral
GACGAACGCUGGCGGCGUGCUUAACACAUGCAAGUCGAACGGAAAGGCCCUGCUUUUUUGGGGUGCUCGAGUGGCGAACGGGUGAGUAACACGUGAGUAACCUGCCCUUGACUUUGGGAUAACUUCAGGAAACUGGGUCUAAUACCGGAUAGGAGCUCCUGCUGCAUGGUUGGGGUUGGAAAGUUUCGGCGGUUGGGGCUGGACUCGCGGCUCAUCAGCUUGUUGGUGGGGUAGUGGCUUACCAAGGCUUUGACGGGUAGCCGGCCUGAGAGGGUGACCGGCCACAUUGGGACUGCGAUACGGACCAGACUCCUACGGGAGGCAGCAGUGGGGAAUAUUGCACAAUGGGCGGAAGCCUGAUGCAGCAACGCCGCGUGCGGGAUGACGGCCUUCGGGUUGUAAACCGCUUUCGCCUGUGACGAAGCGUGAGUGACGGUAAUGGGUAAAGAAGCACCGGCUAACUACGUG